This 491-nucleotide ribosomal RNA is filed under the name uncultured bacterium. Its description in RNAcentral is "bacterial SSU rRNA". It matches the Rfam family "Bacterial small subunit ribosomal RNA", at positions 28 to 507 of the family's 1533-position model. The record is from RNAcentral.
GAUGAACGCUAGCUACAGGCUUAACACAUGCAAGUCGAGGGGAAACGGUAUUGGAAGCUUGCUUCCGAUAGGCGUCGACCGGCGCACGGGUGAGUAACGCGUAUCCAACCUGCCCAUCACUUGGGGAUAACCUUGCGAAAGUAAGACUAAUACCCAAUGACGUCUCUAGAAGACAUCUGAAAGAGAUUAAAGAUUUAUCGGUGAUGGAUGGGGAUGCGUCUGAUUAGCUUGUUGGCGGGGUAACGGCCCACCAAGGCGACGAUCAGUAGGGGUUCUGAGAGGAAGGUCCCCCACAUUGGAACUGAGACACGGUCCAAACUCCUACGGGAGGCAGCAGUGAGGAAUAUUGGUCAAUGGACGAGAGUCUGAACCAGCCAAGUAGCGUGCAGGAUGACGGCCCUAUGGGUUGUAAACUGCUUUUAUAAGGGAAUAAAGUGGGAGUCGUGACUCUUUUGCAUGUACCUUAUGAAUAAGGACCGGCUAAUUCCGUG